Long non-coding RNA from Cyprinus carpio carpio, 270 nucleotides. The record is from Ensembl. Lineage: Eukaryota; Metazoa; Chordata; Actinopteri; Cypriniformes; Cyprinidae.
GUCUUGACAAAAUUGACAUCCACAGAUUCGGAAUGACCCAAAGAAUGCAUAGACACCAAGAUCAUCAUUUUCUGACGAAUUGUUCAGAAGUUAUAAGCAAAAAAGUGAAUUUUUGGUAUCUCAACACCCAUAGGUGGCGCUGUUCCCAACUUUGGCAUGGACCCUCAGAUCAUGGUGUAGAUGAAGUGUACCAAGUUUGGUUUCGAUUGAUCAAAGUUUGGCCGAGAUACAGCCUCUGAACCGAUGUGAGAUCAACCUAUCUAAGUUCAC